UGUAAGCGUAUACCAAAGUUGUUGCAGUUGAAACGCUCGUAGUCGGAAUUUGGCAGUUCCGGAUGUGUGCACGUCGUGUGCGCACUUCGCGGGGAUUGCUUUUGUGGUCUUGCGUAGGAUGAGGCACUUUUAUUAGUGAACGUCCUCACGCAACCACUUUUUACUGUGAGAAAAUCAGAGUGCUCAAAGCAGGCAUUUGCCGUGAAUGUAUUAGCAUGGAAUAAUAGAAUAGGACUUGGUCCUAUUUUGUUGGUUUGUUGGGACUGAGUAAUGAUUAAGAGGGACAGUUGGGGGCAUUUGUAUUUCGGUGCUAGAGGUGAAAUUCUUAGAUUACCGAAAGACAAACUGCUGCGAAAGCGUCUGCCAAGGAUGUUUUCAUUGA
This 382-nucleotide ribosomal RNA is filed under the name uncultured eukaryote. RNAcentral describes it as "partial 18S ribosomal RNA". It matches the Rfam family "Eukaryotic small subunit ribosomal RNA", at positions 592 to 976 of the family's 1831-position model. The record is from RNAcentral.